UUUUAAAAUAUGUAUGGAAAUUUUGUCAGCGAAAACCCUAAUACAAUAACAUUUGAAUUUUGGUAACUUUCUUGGGGGACGCACAAAGUUUUUUUGUCCAAUUCUUGUGGUGCACGUAGAAGAUCAACCCUUCGAAUUCUUGAAACUCUUCUCAUGUGAUCUAGGCAUCCGAUUUUGAUUUCCUUCAUCUAAAUCACAAUUAAUUCAUGUUCAAUUGCUACACACAGUACGCGAUUAUGAGUUUGUAAUUAUAAUUUUUGGGAUUUUGGUGCAGAAAAUCGAAAACUGGAGGAAGAGGAGGAGGGGUGAGCAUGGCUACUGUAUCAGCAGCGCCGCCGUUUCUGAACAAAACGUACGAGAUGGUGGACGAUCCAAAGACGGACGAGGUGGUGUCGUGGAGCAACACUAACAACACCAUCGUGGUGUGGAACGUGCGUGAGUUUACCAGAGAACUUUUGCCCAAAUAUUUUAAGCACAACAAUUUCUCCAGCUUCGUCCGCCAGCUGAACACUUAUGGGUUCAGAAAAGUUCACCCAGACCGCUGGGAAUUUGCAAAUGAGGGUUUUCUCAGAGGUCACAAACACCUACUGAAGAGCAUAAGCAGGCGAAAACCUUCCCAUGCACAGGGCCAUGAACAAUCCUCUCAAGUUCAGAGUUCAUCUGAUGGUACUUCCCCUGAAGCUGGAAAGUUUGUGAUAGAGGAAGAGGUUGAAAAGCUGAAAAGAGAUAAGAAUGUGCUUGUGCAGGAGCUUGUCAGGUUGAGGCAACAACAGCAGUCGACUGAUCACCAGUUUCAAACUGUAGGGCAACGUGUUCAUGUUAUGGAGCAACACCAGCAACAAAUGAUGUCCUUCCUUGCAAAAGCAAUGCAAAAUCCUGGUUUUAUAGCCCAGCUGUUUCAACAGCCGAAUGAAAGUAAGAUGCCUAAAUCUGGUGGGAAUAAGAAAAGGAGAUUCCCCAAUCAGGAGGAAGAUAUUUUAACACGCAAGUUAGGUAUUGCGACACCUGAUGGACAGAUUGUCAAGUACCAGCCUCUGAUGAAUGAAGCGGCAAAGGUAAUGCUGCAGCAAAUCCUAAAAAUGAGUGCAUCAGGUAGGAUAGAGUCCAAAAUUAGCAACAUAAAUGGUUUUUUGAUGGAUAACAUGCAUUCCCCAUCCAAUGUAUUAGACAACAGUAGUUCCUCCAAUCGAAUGUCUGGAGUUACUCUUCCAAAGGUCUUAUCAACGUCUUCACAGUCUCUAAUUGCAUCAGAGUCAGGAUCUCCAUUCAAACUUCCUUCAGCUGCCUUAUCCGAGAUUCAAUCUUCCUCUAAUUUGGUUAGUGGGAAGGCUCAAGGCACUCUGCUUCCUGAAAUUAACAAGGCAUUGUCGGAUUUUUCUCAAAUGGAAGGAGUCAAUCCAGAAAAGAAUGUUGACCUGCCUGACACGCCUUUUGACGGAAUCGGGUGCGAAGAUAAGGAGUACAUGGAUGCGAUGCCAGGUUCCGUCGAUUGCCCUAUGCCAGUUGCAUCAGAUGGAUUUUCAUCAGAUCCUGAAGUUGAUGUCUUGGCAGACGAGAUACCUAAGCUUCCAGGUAUAAAUGACGUAUUCUGGGAACAAUUUCUCUCAUCAAGUCCUGUAACUGGGGAUAUGGAUGAGAUAGAUUCUAGCACAAUGGGAGGUGGUAUGGGAAAAGAGCAGGACCAGCAGACUGAGAAAGAAGGUGAAUGGGAUAAAAUGAAGAAUAUAAGUAAUCUUACCAUAUAGAUGGGGCUUCUUGCACCAGCAGCGAAGAGUGGAUGAUUCUCUGUGAUGAGUCGCAUGUAAAUCGGCAGCAAUGGUCAGAGGUUCACAAUGUAACCUUGUGGAGAAAUUGGUUGUCAGAUGUGAGGAUGCCAUUUUGCUUGGUAUCCAUGUUUUGAUCAGCUUGUUUAGAGUUUUCAGAAAAUGAUAUUUCAGACAGAAGUUACCUUCAUUGGAUGCAUGUCUGUGCAUUGUUACUUGGAUGAAACCACAGAUUUAAUCGACUACAAAUAUAAGAUCUUUGUCAUGCAUAAAACUGCAAUGGAUCAUAACAAGCUUUUAUUUUCUGAACUCCUUUAGAUAGUAAUCUUUUGUAUUCAUAGUAUUUUCACGUUUCAAGGACAGUAGACCGAUGGAUUAUACUGUAACGGAGCAAUGGAAGUAAGUUGUCUUGACAUUGCACUGUACUGUACAUGAGUAACUGUAAACGUCAAAGUGAAAACAAUUAUGAAUGCGUUACAAUUA
This is an RNA transcript of Olea europaea var. sylvestris, 2246 nucleotides long. It is a transcript of the gene named heat stress transcription factor A-1-like, with no coding region annotated. The transcript has 3 exons. The record is from RefSeq and is a predicted model, not a curated record. NCBI's taxonomy places the organism in Eukaryota, Viridiplantae, Streptophyta, Magnoliopsida, Lamiales, Oleaceae.